CGCGGGGUAGAGCAGUUGGUAGCUCGUCGGGCUCAUAACCCGGAGGUCGCAGGUUCGAGUCCUGUCUCCGCUA
Molecule: transfer RNA, 73 nt
Rfam family: tRNA
About the family: Transfer RNA (tRNA) molecules are approximately 80 nucleotides in length. Their secondary structure includes four short double-helical elements and three loops (D, anti-codon, and T loops).
Source: Rfam